UAAGUUUUAUUUCUUAUUUUGCCCUUAUCUCCCGAUUCUUUCUCCUCCGACUUCGCCGAACCCAUUUCUCCCGAUCUCCCCCUUCCUCUCGUCUCUGCCCAUUUCUCCCGAUGCCUCAUCCUUGUGCGACCAUUCUUUUCCUCCACUCGAUCCGUCGCCCUCUCCCUUUUCCCUUGGUGUCGCCUUUGCCCGACAUCACCGACGUCGUCCGGUGCCGCACUGCCCAGCGGACACCGCCUGAUCGUAUUGGCGUCGCGCGACCACCGGGCCUACCUUCUUCCUUGUCGAUCGCCUGCGCCCUCCAACCAUCUUUCUCCUCAGAUCGUUGCCUAGUGUCGCAGUUAACCGAGGGUUCCCAUCGUCGGGAAAAGGAGAUUCAACCAAGAGAUUAGGGCAAUCUGUUCCCCUUGCUUGCGGAGUCAAGAAAAUGCUGUGGAUCUUGCAUCAAAGAUUCCACCGUCUCUUCCUUUUCACCGCUUCUGGAUAAGGGGAUAGAUGUUUGACGAAAUGCCCUAAGUCUUCUUAUCUCCUCUGUUUGCGCUCGCAACCCCAUUGGCGACCACUUGUUUCUACCUAUUGCUGUGAGUAGCUGUCGGGACAGUGGACAUCCACUGUAAGAGGCUGUGAGGUAGCAGUUAGAUGUUUGGUGUGUCGCUUGGAGUAUCCUGUCUGCCGGGUCCUAAGUCACAUCUGAAGACCGUUUCGAGUUUUGUAUAUGUUUUAUUUGUAUUUGGUAUUUGCUGUAUUUGGUGUGUUGUUGUAUUUGUUGUUGUGGUUGUUGUAUAAAGCCUAGCCGGCUAGAAGUGUGUUGAUUUGUUUCGUAUUAGACUUUCCGUUAUCGUUUUUCCGCUGUGUUGGUUUUUAAUGCAGCUGAGUGGGUUGUUCAUUGUAUAUAUAUAAAUGUAUGGUUGUGUUUUAUUAUGUUCCAGCUGAGUGGACUGAAUAUAAACUGUGUGGUUGUGUA
Molecule: long non-coding RNA, 964 nt
Organism: Zingiber officinale
Lineage: Eukaryota; Viridiplantae; Streptophyta; Magnoliopsida; Zingiberales; Zingiberaceae
Exons: 3
Source: RefSeq, a predicted model, not a curated record